This 495-nucleotide long non-coding RNA is filed under the name Cotesia glomerata. RNAcentral describes it as "uncharacterized LOC123272795, transcript variant X1". Lineage: Eukaryota; Metazoa; Arthropoda; Insecta; Hymenoptera; Braconidae. The record is from RNAcentral.
AAACUUGAAAGUAACAAAAAACACAAAAAACACACUUGUAGGGAAUUUCAAUAAUAGCUCUUGUCAGCUGUAAAUUUUUAUUGCGCAUUAGAAUGUCCAAAUUGGAAAGACAUUUUAUAGAACCAGAAUUCUAAUAAUAAAUUGUAAAAUAAUAGUUUUGUGAAUUGAUACUUGAAUAUAAGAACAUCAUAUAAAUGGAGCCAUGCGAUUGUUCAAAUCCACGUUGCAUAUCAAAAAAACAAGAUCGAGUAAGACAACUCCGUAAAAUAAUUCGAAAGUUAUUUAAGCGGUAUGCAGUAAUUAAUAAGAACGCACCUACACUUUUGGAAAUAUCUACUAAAAUAUUAAACGGUGUUAAAAAUAACGAAUUCAAGAUUUUAAAACGCCGAUGGUUACAAACUAAAUCCAUAGUGGAAGUGAACAAGGCUUUCAUAUUUCAAUAUGUUUGGUACAUGGAAAAUUGCAGGACAGCUCAAUCUAUAUUGAAUUCCAACA